This is a long non-coding RNA of Saccostrea cuccullata (small rock oyster), 204 nucleotides long. RefSeq lists it as uncharacterized. The record is from RefSeq and is a predicted model, not a curated record. NCBI's taxonomy places the organism in Eukaryota, Metazoa, Mollusca, Bivalvia, Ostreida, Ostreidae. The transcript is spliced from 3 exons.
CCUUAAAUGGGGGAGGAAAAACCAUUAAAAGUGGGAGACAUCAUUCGAAAGUUUUCGAGUCAGUCGGAUUUGACCACGGACAGCAAACCUCAAACUACACAGUACAGGAAAAAUCCAUCGGCUCAUGAAUCUCCUGCACAGACGUCUCAAGUGUAUGUAUGUUCUUUGCUUUGUUUAAUCUUGAACCAGCCACGGUAGCCUCGC